Molecule: non-coding RNA, 265 nt
Organism: Paramuricea clavata
Lineage: Eukaryota; Metazoa; Cnidaria; Anthozoa; Malacalcyonacea; Plexauridae
Source: the annotation of a GenBank genome assembly
CCCGGGAAAAUUUUGAAAUCUGGGUUCCCUGAAUUGCGAUUUCAAGCAUUUUGAAGGUGAAAUCUAGCAGAAUUCUGAAGAUUAUAAAGUACAUCGAAGACAUAAAUUUUCAGACAUUUCUACUCGGAAUUAAAUAAAUUGGAAAAGUCACCUUGAAUACAAGAUGGCUGUGGAGGAGGCUAUGGAAGGGCAUAAUCUCAUUAUCAAGUAAAUCAACUGCAAUUCUGACAGCAAUCAUGAGCAAUUCUGCUUUGCACUUCGGGGG